CUUGCAGGCUGUAAUUAAUAUAUUACACAAUAGUACAUUGUUACAGUAUUAGUGUUACAGAACAUGAAAACAACCAUUUGCUUCAGUGGAAAAGCUACUCACCGUUGGGAAUUUAUCACUAUGUGGAGGAAAUAUCUAGUGAUUUGACUCAAUGUAAACCUUUCCACUGACUGAUUUGAUGAUCUGCAGACAGAGCUUUAAUGAAUCACUGUUAAAUCUACUUAGCUGCCUCACGGAGGAAGGAAAAGAACUGUCUUUAAAUAAACAAAAUGAAAACCAGGGAAUAUGCACUAAGGUUCCCUGUGUUCUAAUCUGUGCUUUAACUGAGGGGCAAAUAAGAAACACUGCUGUGGCCAGUGAGGGUUGCCCUGCCUGCCCGCCCCAGGGGAUGAUGUGAGGAUGCUCCCCUCGGCCCCUCUGACCAAGGAGCUGUUUUGCCCUGGGUGAGGAGGCGAUCUGCGCAGACCUCAACAGGAGGCAAGGCUUUCUCAGUCUCAGCAUUUGCAGCUCAGUGCCACUCUGUGUUUCUGCAUGAGCCUCUGGGAGAAGAAGCCAGGGAGAAGUUGAAGAAGAGGUUAAUGUUACAAGCCACAGGCAUCUGAUGGGAGGAUGCUGGUGCUGAAAGAAAUAGGAGAACUUAUUAAUUUAUCUUAAAUGGGCAGGUUAAUGGAUUGAUGGACUCAUGGAUGAACGACUCAUGGAUGCAUGAGUGAUGGAUAGGUGGAUAGGUGCUCAAAUGGAUGGACGCAUGCAUAGAUGUGUGCAUGAAUGCUUAGAUCUGUGCAUAUAUGAAUGUAUAUAUGUAGCUUGGGUGGAUGCAUGGGUGGGGGAACAAAUAGAUGGACAAUGGAUGGAUGGAGAGAUGGAUGUGUGCAUGAAUGCUUAGAUCUGUGUAUAUAGGGAUGUAUAUAUUUGUGCUUGGGUGAAUGCGUGCGUGGGUGAAUGAAUAGAUGAACAACAGAUGGAUGGAGAGAAGGAUGAUGAAUGGAUGUGUAUAUGAAUACUUAACUCUGUAUAUAUGUAUGCUUAGAUCAGCAUAUAUGUAUAUUUGUUUGCUUGGAUAGAUGCACAUGUGGACGGAUGUGUGCACAAAUGCUAAGAUCUGUGCAUAUAUGUGUGCUUGGAUGGAUGCAUGGGUGGGUGGAUGAAUAGAUGGACAAUGGAUGGAUGGAGAGAAGGAUGAUGGAUGGAUGGAUGUGUGCAUACGUGGUUAGAUCUGUGUAUACGUCUAUGCUUGGAUGGAUGCAUAGGUGGGUGGAUGAAAAGAUGGACAAUGGAUGGAUAGAAGGAUGAUGGAUGGAUGUGUGCAUAAAUGCUUAGAUCUGUAUAUAUGUCUAUGCUUGGAUUGAUGCAUGGGUGGGUGGAUGAAUAGAUGGACAAUGGAUGGAUAGAAGGAUGAUGGAUGGAUGUGUGCAUGAAUGCUUAGAUCUGUGUAUAUGUCUAUGCUUGGAUUGAUGCAUGGGUGGGUGGAUGAAAAGAUGGACAAUGGAUGGAUGGAGAGAAGAAUGAUGGGUGGAUGGAUGUGUGCAUGAGUGCUUAGAUCUGUGUAUAUAUGUGUGCUUGGAUGGAUGCAUGGGUGGGUGGAUGAACAGAUGGACAAUGGAUGGAUGGAGAGAAGGAUGAUGGAUGGAUGGAUGUGUGCAUACGUGGUUAGAUCUGUGUAUAUGUCUAUGCUUGGAUGGAUGCAUAGGUGGGUGGAUGAAUAGAUGGACAAUGGAUGGAGAGAAGGAUGAUGGAUGGAUAUGUGUAUACGUGGUUAGAUCUGUGUAUAUGUCUAUGCUUGGAUGGAUGCAUGGGUGGGUGGAUGAAUAGAUGGACAAUGGAUGGAUAGAAGGAUGAUGGAUGGAUGGAUGUGUGCAUACGUGGUUAGAUCUGUGUAUAUGUCUAUGCUUGGAUGGAUGCAUAGGUGGGUGGAUGAAAAGAUGGACAAUGGAUGGAUGGAGAGAAAGAUGAUGGAUGAAUGGAUGUGUGUAUACGUGGUUAGAUCUGUGUAUAUGUCUAUGCUUGGAUUGAUGUGUGGGUGGGUGGAUGAAUAGAUGGACAAUGGACAGAUGGAGAGAAGGAUGAUGGAUGGAUGUAUGCAUGAAUGCUUAGAUCUGGGUAUAUAUGGAUGUACGUGUGUGCUUGGACAGAUGCACGGGUGGGUGGGUGAGCAGAUGGACAAUGGAUGGAGGAAUAGGAGGAUGAUGGAUGGAUAGAUGUGUGCAUGAGUGCUUAGACCUAUGUAUAUAUGUAUGUAUAUAUGCGUAUGCUUGGAUAGAUGCAUGGAGGCAUACAAAUCUGGGUGGAUGAAUUAUUACAUGAUGAUGCAGGUUUGGGUCAGGUAAAUGUCAAUACAUUCAGUCACAGAAGUCAGCAGGCAGGCAGACACACACCUGUCGAGCACUUAUUUUAUGACUGGCACCAUUUCUGAUGUUAGGAGCACAAGGCUCCUACCUGUAUGAGGCUUCCCUGCUAGGGGAUGGGAGUCACUGCUGGUGGUAAAGGGUCAGGAAAGCCUCCAGGGAGGCGGCUUCUGACCUGAGCCUGCUUGAGAAGGCAGCAGCCUUGAACAGGUAAGCAGAGCGCCCCAGCAGAAGGAAGAACUGCGGUCGAAGCUGCCGGUAAUGGGGUUAGACGUCAGGAAGGCCUGCAGGCUGCAGCACUGUGCACAGGGCCAGCCCCUCCAGGUUGGCUCUCAACUCCUCCACUUCACCGGUCCUGGGCUCACCAGUGUGGACACAACACAGGCCCCUGAUCUCUGGCUUCUGGUUGGGUUCAGCUGAUGGCGAGCUCUGGCUGGGGCUUGGAGGGUGGAUGGAGAGGUCAGGCCCUCAGUCCCUGGGAAGUUGCCUCUGGCUGGCCGAAGUUACCUCUCCCUUGCUUCAGGUCACGGCUCUGCCUGGGGCAGCCUCCCACAUGUGACAGCCUUCUUUCAGGUCCUGGUGGCCACUCCAGACACCCCUUUCAGGCAGGGUGGUAACAGUGCCACUGUGACUAGCCCCAGGUCACCACACCAUCCCUUAGGCUUCACCGGGACCCUGUCCAGACCUUUAUAAUGGUCCUUUUCCAAAUGCCCCUCCCCCCAGCAAUUACCCUCAUUCUAGAUGCGUUUUCUGUUGGAAACUUCCAGGUAGUUGGCACAGGAGUGGCCCAGAAGGCAGACCCUCCAGGUGGAGUCAGGGAUGAGGUUGGUCACAUAUUGGAGGAGAUGGAAUAACUUCCUUGCCAGGGGGAAAUGGGCCGUGGGUACACAGGGGCACGGCAGCCUCUCCGUGACUCAGAUCAUUGCUGGUGUCAGUGUGGAAUGGCGUGCAGGGGAGGCUGAGGUGCUGGGAGAGAAGCCGGAGUUGCUAUGGCAAUGGUUGUGAUUGAAGAGAGUUUGGGUCUUCUGGCUUCUCCUUACCCACACAGGAAAAGGAAAACUUGCAAUGGCCGGACCUGCAGUCAAGAACCAGAGGGGCAGCUCUGAAGGAGCCCGUGUCACCUGCAGUCCCAGAGAAGGUGCCGCAAAGGCCAGCCCUUGGCUCUGCUUGUUUGGGCAGAUGGUGAACACUCCACAUGUGGCCAGGUCUCAGGCUGCGUGACAGAGUUCUCAAUAGGAUGAUGUCACCCCAGGGGACUUUUGACAGUAUCUGGAGGUAUUUGGGCUGUCGCAGCUGGAGGGAUACGGCUGGUGUCUGGUGGGCAGAGAUGGAGGACGGUGCUAAGUACCCUACAGUGCACAGGACGGCCCCACAGCAAAGAAUGACCUGGCCCAGUGGUCCCGGUGUGGGGUGGAGAACCUCCAGGGACAAAUCGAUGUGUCCUCCCUGGCCUCCGCACCUCUGCUGGCACUGCUGUUCUGGGAUUUGCAGAACAGCUCACUCACCAGUCACUGUGGUGUUCACAUCCCAUCAUCUCCAACGGGGACACGUUUUAUAGCAAAGGGAGUGCUGCAACCCCAAACAGAGGAGAUCACCAAGUGAUCAUGAGACCUGAACCAUAAACUUGGAUACGUGCAACAGAAUUCCAUUGUAGAGUGGAAGUUUUCACAUGGGAGAGCUGGCCUGAUUCACCUGGAAGACACAUAGCUCAGACUUAAGAGAAGCUGUCCCGCUCCUUCACUAGCCCUCCCUCCACCACACCUGUGGCCACAGGGGUUUCUCUGGCCAGCAAAUGGAGAAGGGGAGGGCAGGCCCAGUUAGCAGAGGGUCUGGCUGUAGGCUACACAAGUGAGAAGUGGGGGCCAAGGUACUGCCACCCAGCAGGUGACCCUCAAAGACAAUGCAGAAGGAAAAUCCUCCUGGGGGCAGAAUGCCACGAAAUGCUUCACACGAAAGUAGGGUUGGCUGAAAGUACAAUUGCGUGUUUACAGACUCACGGGCAAUGGCAAAAGCGUUAGCCGGUGGGGCCAGUGCUUCCCACUGAGAAGCACCCAAGUUGCUGUGAACACAGUGGCACUCGCCAGCACUGGCAGGUGCAGGCCAGAGACAGGAGACAGCACAAACAGGAAACUGGUGACAAGGUGGCUGUCUUAGGCAGGGCUCUCCAGAGAGGCAGGAUCAAUAGAAGACAUCUGUCUAUCUAUCAUCUAAUCUAUCUAUCUAUCAUCUAUCAUCUGUCUAUCUAUCAUCUA
This 4597-nucleotide long non-coding RNA is filed under the name Homo sapiens (human). RNAcentral's name for it is "non-protein coding lnc-RSPH1-6:1". Lineage: Eukaryota; Metazoa; Chordata; Mammalia; Primates; Hominidae. The record is from RNAcentral.